UUCAGCAAAAAGCUCACGUAUGUUGGAACGGGUGAAACUGCACGGAGAAAGUUGCAUUUUGAGGUAAAAUAUAUCAGGGGCAUUAUAGCAAAUAACCAAAAGUUACUAACUUUCUAGUAUUCUAUGACUAGCCCUCCCAUUGGGGCACGGUGUGGAAUUCCCUUUCUUCUCUUGGCCGUUCUGUAAUUAACAAAAGUUGGUGGCGGUGUGGAAGGUGUGAAGCUGUUCUUCUUCCCAUGGCUGCUGUUGCUGCUGUAAGAAUCCUCUG
Molecule: long non-coding RNA, 268 nt
Filed under: Glycine max (soybean)
Lineage: Eukaryota; Viridiplantae; Streptophyta; Magnoliopsida; Fabales; Fabaceae
Description: long non-coding RNA (GMAX_LNC000117)
Source: RNAcentral